UACGUAGGGUGCGAGCGUUGUCCGGAAUUAUUGGGCGUAAAGAGCUCGUAGGCGGUCUGUCGCGUCGAUCGUGAAAACUUGGGGCUUAACCCUGAGCUUGCGGUCGAUACGGGCAUGACUGGAGUUCGGCAGGGGAGACUGGAAUUCCUGGUGUAGCGGUGAAAUGCGCAGAUAUCAGGAGGAACACCUGCGGCGAAGGCGGGUUGCUGGGCUGACACUGACGCUGAAGCGCGAAAGCUAGGGGAGCGAACGGG
Molecule: ribosomal RNA, 254 nt
Filed under: uncultured bacterium
Lineage: Bacteria
Description: partial 16S ribosomal RNA
Rfam family: Bacterial small subunit ribosomal RNA
Source: RNAcentral